GAAACUUAAAGGAAUUGGCGGGGGAGCACCACAACCGGAGGAGCCUGCGGUUUAAUUGGACUCAACGCCGGACAUCUCACCGGUCCCGACAACAGUCACGACAGUCAGUUUAACGAACUUACUCGAGCUGUUGAGAGGAGGUGCAUGGCCGCCGUCAGCUCGUACCGUGAGGCGUCCUGUUAAGUCAGGCAACGAGCGAGACCCGCACUUCUAGUUGCCAGCAAUACCCUUGAGGUAGUUGGGUACACUAGGAGGACUGCCGCUGCUAAAGCGGAGGAAGGAACGGGCAACGGUAGGUCAGUAUGCCCCGAAUGGACCGGGCAACACGCGGGCUACAAUGGCUACGACAGUGGGAUGCUACCCCGAGAGGCGACCCUAAUCUCUAAACGUAGCCGUAGUUCGGAUUGCGGGCUGAAACUCGCCCGCAUAAAGCUGGAUUCGGUAGUAAUCGCGUGUCAUAAGCGCGCGGUGAAAACGUCCCUGCUCCUUGCACACACCGCCCGUCAAAGCACCCGAGUGGGGUCCGGAUGAGGCCAGGAUACCCUGGUCGAAUCUGGGCUCCGCAAGGGGGCUUAAGUCGUAACAA
This 586-nucleotide ribosomal RNA is filed under the name uncultured haloarchaeon. RNAcentral describes it as "bacterial SSU rRNA". It matches the Rfam family "Archaeal small subunit ribosomal RNA", at positions 851 to 1441 of the family's 1478-position model. Lineage: Archaea; Methanobacteriati; Methanobacteriota; Halobacteria; Halobacteriales; Halobacteriaceae. The record is from RNAcentral.